AUUGAACGCUGGCGGCAUGCUUUACACAUGCAAGUCGAACGGUAACAGGUUAAGCUGACGAGUGGCGAACGGGUGAGUAAUGCAUCGGAACGUGCCUGAACGUGGGGGAUAACGCAGCGAAAGCUGCGCUAAUACCGCAUACGAUCUAUGGAAGAAAGCGGGGGAUCGCAAGACCUCGCGCGAUUGGAGCGGCCGAUAUCAGAUUAGGUAGUUGGUGGGGUAAAGGCUCACCAAGCCGACGAGCUGUAGCGGGUCUGAGAGGACGACCAGCCACACGGGGACUGAGACACGGCCCAGACUCCUACGGGAGGCAGCAGUGGGGAAUUUUGGACAAUGGGCGAAAGCCUGAUCCAGCCAUGCCGCGUGCAGGAUGAAGGCCUUCGGGUUGUAAACUGCUUUUGUACGGAACGAAAAGGUUUGGCCUAAUAAGCUGAGCUCAUGACGGUACCGUAAGAAUAAGCACCGGCUAACUACGUGCCAGCAGCCGCGGUAA
This 493-nucleotide ribosomal RNA is filed under the name uncultured bacterium. Its description in RNAcentral is "partial 16S ribosomal RNA". It matches the Rfam family "Bacterial small subunit ribosomal RNA", at positions 29 to 523 of the family's 1533-position model. The record is from RNAcentral.